Molecule: ribosomal RNA, 2549 nt
Filed under: Escherichia coli
Lineage: Bacteria; Pseudomonadati; Pseudomonadota; Gammaproteobacteria; Enterobacterales; Enterobacteriaceae
Description: partial 23S ribosomal RNA
Rfam family: Bacterial large subunit ribosomal RNA
Source: RNAcentral
CUGUGAGCUCGAUGAGUAGGGCGGGACACGUGGUAUCCUGUCUGAAUAUGGGGGGACCAUCCUCCAAGGCUAAAUACUCCUGACUGACCGAUAGUGAACCAGUACCGUGAGGGAAAGGCGAAAAGAACCCCGGCGAGGGGAGUGAAAAAGAACCUGAAACCGUGUACGUACAAGCAGUGGGAGCCUCUUAAUGGGGUGACUGCGUACCUUUUGUAUAAUGGGUCAGCGACUUAUAUUCUGUAGCAAGGUUAACCGAAUAGGGGAGCCGAAGGGAAACCGAGUCUUAACUGGGCGUUAAGUUGCAGGGUAUAGACCCGAAACCCGGUGAUCUAGCCAUGGGCAGGUUGAAGGUUGGGUAACACUAACUGGAGGACCGAACCGACUAAUGUUGAAAAAUUAGCGGAUGACUUGUGGCUGGGGGUGAAAGGCCAAUCAAACCGGGAGAUAGCUGGUUCUCCCCGAAAGCUAUUUAGGUAGCGCCUCGUGAAUUCAUCUCCGGGGGUAGAGCACUGUUUCGGCAAGGGGGUCAUCCCGACUUACCAACCCGAUGCAAACUGCGAAUACCGGAGAAUGUUAUCACGGGAGACACACGGCGGGUGCUAACGUCCGUCGUGAAGAGGGAAACAACCCAGACCGCCAGCUAAGGUCCCAAAGUCAUGGUUAAGUGGGAAACGAUGUGGGAAGGCCCAGACAGCCAGGAUGUUGGCUUAGAAGCAGCCAUCAUUUAAAGAAAGCGUAAUAGCUCACUGGUCGAGUCGGCCUGCGCGGAAGAUGUAACGGGGCUAAACCAUGCACCGAAGCUGCGGCAGCGACGCUUAUGCGUUGUUGGGUAGGGGAGCGUUCUGUAAGCCUGUGAAGGUGUGCUGUGAGGCAUGCUGGAGGUAUCAGAAGUGCGAAUGCUGACAUAAGUAACGAUAAAGCGGGUGAAAAGCCCGCUCGCCGGAAGACCAAGGGUUCCUGUCCAACGUUAAUCGGGGCAGGGUGAGUCGACCCCUAAGGCGAGGCCGAAAGGCGUAGUCGAUGGGAAACAGGUUAAUAUUCCUGUACUUGGUGUUACUGCGAAGGGGGGACGGAGAAGGCUAUGUUGGCCGGGCGACGGUUGUCCCGGUUUAAGCGUGUAGGCUGGUUUUCCAGGCAAAUCCGGAAAACCAAGGCUGAGGCGUGAUGACGAGGCACUACGGUGCUGAAGCGACAAAUGCCCUGCUUCCAGGAAAAGCCUCUAAGCAUCAGGUAACAUCAAAUCGUACCCCAAACCGACACAGGUGGUCAGGUAGAGAAUACCAAGGCGCUUGAGAGAACUCGGGUGAAGGAACUAGGCAAAAUGGUGCCGUAACUUCGGGAGAAGGCACGCUGAUAUGUAGGUGAAGCGACUUGCUCGUGGAGCUGAAAUCAGUCGAAGAUACCAGCUGGCUGCAACUGUUUAUUAAAAACACAGCACUGUGCAAACACGAAAGUGGACGUAUACGGUGUGACGCCUGCCCGGUGCCGGAAGGUUAAUUGAUGGGGUUAGCGGCAACGCGAAGCUCUUGAUCGAAGCCCCGGUAAACGGCGGCCGUAACUAUAACGGUCCUAAGGUAGCGAAAUUCCUUGUCGGGUAAGUUCCGACCUGCACGAAUGGCGUAAUGAUGGCCAGGCUGUCUCCACCCGAGACUCAGUGAAAUUGAACUCGCUGUGAAGAUGCAGUGUACCCGCGGCAAGACGGAAAGACCCCGUGAACCUUUACUAUAGCUUGACACUGAACAUUGAGCCUUGAUGUGUAGGAUAGGUGGGAGGCUUUGAAGUGUGGACGCCAGUCUGCAUGGAGCCGACCUUGAAAUACCACCCUUUAAUGUUUGAUGUUCUAACGUUGGCCCCUAAUCGGGGUUGCGGACAGUGUCUGGUGGGUAGUUUGACUGGGGCGGUCUCCUCCUAAAGAGUAACGGAGGAGCACGAAGGUUGGCUAAUCCUGGUCGGACAUCAGGAGGUUAGUGCAAUGGCAUAAGCCAGCUUGACUGCGAGCGUGACGGCGCGAGCAGGUGCGAAAGCAGGUCAUAGUGAUCCGGUGGUUCUGAAUGGAAGGGCCAUCGCUCAACGGAUAAAAGGUACUCCGGGGAUAACAGGCUGAUACCGCCCAAGAGUUCAUAUCGACGGCGGUGUUUGGCACCUCGAUGUCGGCUCAUCACAUCCUGGGGCUGAAGUAGGUCCCAAGGGUAUGGCUGUUCGCCAUUUAAAGUGGUACGCGAGCUGGGUUUAGAACGUCGUGAGACAGUUCGGUCCCUAUCUGCCGUGGGCGCUGGAGAACUGAGGGGGGCUGCUCCUAGUACGAGAGGACCGGAGUGGACGCAUCACUGGUGUUCGGGUUGUCAUGCCAAUGGCACUGCCCGGUAGCUAAAUGCGGAAGAGAUAAGUGCUGAAAGCAUCUAAGCACGAAACUUGCCCCGAGAUGAGUUCUCCCUGAGACUUAGAGUCUCCUGAAGGAACGUUGAAGACGACGACGUUGAUAGGCCGGGUGUGUAAGCGCAGCGAUGCGUUGAGCUAACCGGUACUAAUGAACCGUGAGGCUUAACCUU